RNAcentral lists this ribosomal RNA (292 nucleotides) under uncultured bacterium. RNAcentral describes it as "partial 16S ribosomal RNA". It matches the Rfam family "Bacterial small subunit ribosomal RNA", at positions 775 to 1067 of the family's 1533-position model. The record is from RNAcentral.
GGAUUAGAUACCCUGGUAGUCCACGCCGUAAACGAUGAGAACUAGCCGUGGGUCCCGUACGGGAUUGGUGGCGCAGCUAACGCGAUAAGUUCUCCGCCUGGGGAGUACGGCCGCAAGGUUAAAACUCAAAUGAAUUGACGGGGGCCCGCACAAGCGGUGGAGCAUGUGGUUUAAUUCGAAGCAACGCGAAGAACCUUACCUACUCUUGACAUCCUCAGAACUUGGCAGAGAUGCCUUGGUGCCUUCGGGAACUGAGUGACAGGUGCUGCAUGGCUGUCGUCAGCUCGUGCCG